AGGGGUUUAGCUCAGUUGGUAGAGCAUCGGUCUCCAAAACCGAAGGUCGUGGGUUCGAGUCCCUCAGCCCCUGCCA
RNAcentral lists this transfer RNA (76 nucleotides) under Paracoccaceae bacterium. RNAcentral describes it as "Rhodobacteraceae bacterium (sponge metagenome) tRNA-Trp". It matches the Rfam family "tRNA". From Rfam's summary of the family: Transfer RNA (tRNA) molecules are approximately 80 nucleotides in length. Lineage: Bacteria; Pseudomonadati; Pseudomonadota; Alphaproteobacteria; Rhodobacterales; Paracoccaceae. The record is from RNAcentral.